This 459-nucleotide ribosomal RNA is filed under the name uncultured bacterium. RNAcentral's name for it is "SSU rRNA". It matches the Rfam family "Bacterial small subunit ribosomal RNA", at positions 26 to 518 of the family's 1533-position model. The record is from RNAcentral.
AGAAUCAACGCUGGCGGCGUGCCUAACACAUGCAAGUCGAACGAGAAAGUGGAGCAAUCCAUGAGUAAAGUGGCGUACGGGUGAGUAACACGUGACUAACCUACCCUCGAGUGGGGAAUAACCUCGGGAAACCGGGGCUAAUACCGCAUAACAUCUACGGAUCAAAUGCGUAAGCAGCUUGAGGAGGGGGUCGCGGCCGAUUAGCUAGUUGGCGGGGUAAUGGCCCACCAAGGCAAUGAUCGGUAGCCGGCCUGAGAGGGCGCACGGCCACACUGGAACUGAAACACGGUCCAGACUCCUACGGGAGGCAGCAGUGGGGAAUUUUGCGCAAUGGGGGAAACCCUGACGCAGCAACGCCGCGUGGAGGAUGAAGCCCCUUGGGGUGUAAACUCCUUUCGAUCGGGACGAUUAUGACGGUACCGGAUGAAGAGCACCGGCUAACUCUGCGCCAGCAGCCGC